AGCACACACAGAGCAUGAGGGACUGCUGACUGUCCCAUCUAUGCCGACUCCCCCCCGACCUGUGCGGGGAGAGACAGGCGCAGCAUCUGCCCUUCGCCUGCUCUGUUCAGCUGAGCAGAUCGCUAUCUGUCUCCAGGCUGCCCGCGCUGCACCACCCUGUUGGAAAUGAUGAAACACUGGUGACUGACUACAGUGACAGAGGGACUUCCGGGUGGGGUUGAAGGGUGAAGUUGUUUCCACCAGGACCUCGCUGAAACAUAGGCUGGGCUCAGACCUUGCCCCUGGCACCAGAGAUGACUCCUCACCACCUGGGGUAAGGCCCCUGACAUGGCGGCCAGAGCCAGAGGGGAUCCAAAGAAGAUUUCUCUGAUACCCAGGAUAAAGGUAUCCAGGAGGAUCCUGUUGGCUACCCUAUCUGUGGUUCCUCCCAGACCUCUGUGUGCUGCCCCUCAAAAAGGCUGAACACCACUACAACCAGUGGCUGCAAAUCAGAAGCUCAGCAUGAGCUUGACAGGAGCAAUGGAGCUCUGGCAUGGCCUCGUGAUCGCAGUGGUGUCCCUCAUGCUCCAGGCCUGCCUCCUCAUUGUGACGGGUUACCUGCUCAGCCAGCGCAUAGGCCAGCAGAGUGAACGAAUGCUCAAAGAGGCCAGGCUGCAGGCCCAAGGGUCUGGCCCUGCCCACCAGCCCCUGCUGGUUGCUAAGGAGACCACGGAGACUUGGACAGAGAGAAGCACCCCCGUGUCUGUUCCCCAUUACAGGCGUGAGAGCAGUACAUCCUCAGAUAGCUCAGACAGCUCGGACAGCAAAGACAGCUCCCCUCCCAGCUGCCAGGUCACCAAGGAUGUGAAUUAUACACAAGUGGUUUUUUCGACCCCUGGAGUACGAAACAGGGAAUUUGCCCUGGACUAUGAGAACAUAAAGGAAGCCACAGAUUAUGUCAAUGUCAAUCCACAAAGCCUCAAGCCUAAUUUCUGGGCAUUUUCAAACCCUACUGUUUCUGAGCCAGUGGAAUAUACUCAAGUGGUUACAUGAAUUUUAGGUGUUUUUUUUUUUUUUUUUUAAAAAUGAAGAUGCAAUUCUCUAUUGAUUAUUAGAUUUAUUUUGUAUGGGAAUUCCUUUAAAUAAAAAAAGGUAUAGAGAAAAAAAUAGAUCUGGCCCCAGCAAGAAGACUCCAGAUCAGAUGUUAGGAAGAACUGCCAAGUAAAGUCUGGAAACACUGGCACACAGCAGCAGAGGACGUGAUGAGGUCUUUUAAAAAGUUUUAAUCAGCUGCAAUGAAGUUCUAUUUGGUGGUCUUAAGGUUACAUGACUUCUCUUUGAUUAUUUGCCAUAAAUAAUUUUCUUAAAAAUUGUAAGUAGAAUUUCAAUGACCAGUUCUUCUUUUCCUCUUGCCUAAUCCUGCAUGUUGACACUUUUAUCAGUGAUGUGUUUUGCUGAGUAAUCCUGCUUUGCCAUCACAAUUUCAAAUAAUUCACUUACGAAGCCUACCAUCAAUGAGCCUCUGAAUUUGCUGUGUUUUUUUUUAACAAGCUAAAGAAGACAAAGAGAAUCCUAGUCAAUAUCAGCUAGCAUCACAAUUGGUUAUCCCAAGGGAAAUCUUUUAAAAUUUAAUACAAUAAAAUUCAAUGUCCACUCCUGGGUUUUGUUUUAACCAAUUAUGAAUAUAAAGGUCCUUCUUGACUUGGUUAAGAAUUGUUUAUUCUCAAAUCAGCGGGUAACACGAUAUUUAAGUGUAAGAUCCUAGACAGAGUCCCAUUAAGACAGAAGUGAAGGGCUGGGGAUUUCGCUCAGUGGCAAAGCGCCUGCCUGGCAAGCGCAAGGUCAUGAGCUCGGUUCCUGGUACCGGAGAAAAACCAAAAAAAAAAAAAAAAGACAGAAGUGAAGUAAAACUGUCCACAAGCCUUAAAUUGGCUAACGUUGGCUAACAUCAAGUUCAGAAGUUAUCAGUGCAACCAAACAGCAAGCUGGGGCACAAGGAUGCACACUUAUAAUCCCAGCAGUGCAGAAGGCUGGGAUAGGAGGAUCACCCGAAUCCAAGAAUUUAAGACCAGCCUGGGCAACAUAGUGAGACUCCCAUCUCAAAAAAAAAUAUGAGUAAAUAAAUAAUCAAGAGCUAUAAUUACUGGAAAGGAGGAUAAAUUGUUCACUGCAGAUGUCCUAGCUCUAGAAAGUGACAGGGACUUCAAAAGUUUUAAAAUUGAUAAUGUGUAAUAAGUGGUGAUCAGCUAUACAUUUUUUUCUAAUAGCAAAGUAAGACAUGAAAAAAAGUUGUUCAUGAUAGCUAAGCAACCACAUCCCAAAAAGCUGAAAUCUCAGGGGAACUCCUAGCCAAAUCCAAACCUAGAUCCAUGGUAUUCAGGUCUUAGAGCUCCACAGCUGUCUCCAUCUGUAACCCUGGGGCUGUGAGCAGCUGGCUGGCCCUCCCCACACCAGUCCUCUUCCCCAGGAAGAUCUGUAGUGACAGUUCUAGUUUGGACUUCAGAAGCUGGAAAAUUCUACCAGCCUAUUUGUCCCCCAAGCUUCCAACUAUCAUGUUAUUUCUCUCCUUGAAAGUUUCACUGAACAGAAAAAAUGAUUUUACUGAUCAGAGAGGCAGAAAGAGGAAUAAACAUCACUACUAAUAAAGUUGCCCUUACAUCAAGAAAUGAAAUUCGACUUUGCAUUGAUUUCUUUUAAAAGGCUAAAAAAGAAAAUCCAAGCGUGUGUUGAAAAGGUUUGGAUAAGUUCCACAUGGGCCACCCAAGGGACUGUGUGGGAGCAAUGCCACAACAGCUGCACACAAGGAGAGAGGCCACUGGAGCAGGCAGAGACCAGCCCUGGGGACCGAGAGGAGAGUGAAUUCAUGAGAAUACUGGUCAUCAGAGAUCAUCAGGGUGGGAGUUAAGACAUCUAUAACCUAAUUGAGGGGAACAGGAAAGAACUGGAAAACAUUCACAAAACAACAGGUAACGGGGCAGAAUUAAUACCAGGAAAUGACACCAGAGCGUGUCAGGGUUAGAUCUGGGGAAAUGAUUAGGUGGACUUAAUCAGAAAACAUUCCAGAGAGGGGUUAUUUCUAACCUCGGUUUAGAAAGGAGGGUGGAAAGUCAACUGUUAGAAAAAAAAAAAGCAGAAGGAAAGCGAACAGGCCAACUACAUGUUGGCUCUCUGUAAGGCUCGAGGGGCUGUCCUGCUGCCAGAAUGAUGUGCAGAAAAGUCUUCCUGGGCUCAGAGUGUGCCACCCAUGAUGCUCAGGAGCAAGGGCUGUGUGUCAGGGAGACCAGAGGCAGCAGAAUUCCACUGGCCAUCUGAAGAUCUCUAAUUGCCCUGCUUAAAAGUACAGCAUUUAUAGUAGAUCCACCACAGAAGGCAACAUUAGCCGUCAUCAUAAUUGCUUUUCAGGAGCAGGCACUCUUGGAGAGUGAUGUUUAAA
This is a long non-coding RNA of Chinchilla lanigera (long-tailed chinchilla), 3412 nucleotides long. The record is from Ensembl. Lineage: Eukaryota; Metazoa; Chordata; Mammalia; Rodentia; Chinchillidae.